UAAAUAAGCGGAGGAAAAGAAACUAACAAGGAUUGACGUAGUAAGGGCGACUGAACUGUCAAGAGCUCACCGUGUGAAUCAGCGUGCGCAAGUGCGUUGAAUUGUGGUUUGGAGGUGUAUGCACUAUUGCGCAGGGCAAAGUCCCUUGGAAGAGGGCAGCAUAGAGGGUGAUACUCCCGUUUGCCUUGUGCUUGAGCGUAUACCAAUGAGUCGAGUUGUUUGGGAUUGCAGCUCAAAGCCGGUGGUAAAUUCCAUCGAAAGCUAAAUAUUGGUGGGAGACCGAUAGCGCACAAGUACCGUGAGGGAAAGAUGCAAAGAACUUUGAAAAGAGAGUUAAAGAGUGCCUGAAAUUGCUGAGAAGGAAGCGAAGGAAAGUAGUGAGUAGCUGCGCCAUACUUCCUGACCUGCUUGCUGGUUGGGCGCUGUGGUCAGCGAGGUUCAACUUGGUUCGGUUGAUGGAAGUUGCAGCAGCAACAGAAUGUUGCAGCUGCUUGACGUUGGCUGGACUGGGAGGAACGAAAUGGUUUUCUUUGCC
This 535-nucleotide ribosomal RNA is filed under the name Pinnularia sp. RNAcentral describes it as "partial 28S ribosomal RNA". It matches the Rfam family "Eukaryotic large subunit ribosomal RNA", at positions 43 to 588 of the family's 3401-position model. The record is from RNAcentral. Lineage: Eukaryota; Bacillariophyta; Bacillariophyceae; Sellaphorales; Pinnulariaceae.